UGGUGGUGGACGGUAUGAGCAGGAAGAUGAUUAUAAGAAGCCUCCUAGUGGUGGUGGUGGCUAUGGUGGAGGAAGGUAUGAAGAGGAUGAUGGGUAUAAGAAGAAGCCUAGUGCUGGUGGAUAUGGAGAUGGAGGAAGAUAUGAAGAUGAGUUCAAGAAGAAGCCAACUGGUGGUCAUGGUGGAGGGAGGUAUGAGGAAGAUGACGAGUACAAGAAGCCUAGUGGUGGAAGAUAUGAAGAAGAUGACUACAAGAAGAAGCCUGCGCAUUCAGGGGGAAGGUACGAGGAAGAUGAGGGGUACAAGAAGCCUAGUGGCCAUGGAGGAGGGAGGUAUAGUAAGGAGGAGAAUGAAGAGGAUAACAAGAAAAAACAUGGUGGCCGCCAUGAC
Molecule: long non-coding RNA, 388 nt
Filed under: Brachypodium distachyon (stiff brome)
Lineage: Eukaryota; Viridiplantae; Streptophyta; Magnoliopsida; Poales; Poaceae
Description: long non-coding RNA (BDIS_LNC001438)
Source: RNAcentral